UACAGAGGGUGCGAGCGUUAAUCGGAAUUACUGGGCGUAAAGCGCGCGUAGGCGGUUUUGUAAGUCGGGUGUGAAAUCCCCGGGCUCAACCUGGGAAUGGCAUUUGGGACUGCAAGGCUUGAGUGCGGCAGAGGAGACUGGAAUUCCUGGUGUAGCAGUGAAAUGCGUAGAUAUCAGGAGGAAUACCGAUGGCGAAGGCAGGUCUCUGGGCUGACACUGACGCUCAUGCACGAAAGCGUGGGGAGCAAACAGG
This 253-nucleotide ribosomal RNA is filed under the name uncultured bacterium. Its description in RNAcentral is "partial 16S ribosomal RNA". It matches the Rfam family "Bacterial small subunit ribosomal RNA", at positions 524 to 776 of the family's 1533-position model. The record is from RNAcentral.